Molecule: long non-coding RNA, 3902 nt
Filed under: Homo sapiens (human)
Lineage: Eukaryota; Metazoa; Chordata; Mammalia; Primates; Hominidae
Description: HSALNT0324378
Source: RNAcentral
UCUGAGGACUGCCAGCACGCUGUCACCUCUCACCAUUGUCUUUAUACCAUUCCUAUGAGAGAGAUCAGCAGCUUUAUCCUGACUUACAGGUUUGGAGUGGACUAUAAAUAAAUUGGGAAGGUAUCGUAAAUUAGCUUUUUGAAACUGGAAUUAGUGUCCUGUCUUAAAGUCUGCAGGAAUUACAAGACUCGAGGAAGAGAAUCAUUGGUGGUUUGGGAAGCUCUGACAAACAAUUAAGUAGAGAAUGAUUUAGUACACAGCUCAGUUCCUGAACAUUCUCAUUGCUGCCUCUGGUUACAAAAAAAUCUUGCCAAGACAAAAAUGUUACUUCUGUAUAAAUCCCUCUCAUUCGAACUUAAACAUAAUAACUAAUAAUAUCCAGAAUGAUGACUUGAAUUUUAUAAUCAGUGUUAAGUGGAUUUUAAAUACAGAAAAUUUCAUGAACUUUCAUGGCUUUAACUAAACAUGUUUGAAUAUGGUAAGGAUUUUUCUAUGUGUAUAUUACUAUGCAGUGUGGCUCUGACUCUGAUUGCAUUCAAUAUUCCAUCUGAUUAAACCAUGUUUACUCAUUUCUCCCCUCACUAGAUGCCCUUCUUGAAACCUUCCCUCAAUACUCCUAUGAGGAGGCUUUAAAUGCUCUGAAUCUAUUACAAAGAUAAAUACCAGGGAAGUCAAUUUUAACAAACCUUGAAAUAACCUAAAUGUCUAUUAGUAAGAAAGUAAUUAAAUUAAAAAUGUUGUAUACUCAUGUGAUGUAAUAUUUUGCAGCUGGAAAAAAGUAAAAUAGAAUACAGUUGUUUAUUUGGAAAAAUGUCCAUAUAUGUUGCUAAUUUCUAAGACAAAAAGGAAAGUUUCAGAAUGAAGUGUAUAAUGGUUGCACUUAUGUUAAAACUCUAUACACCCAUAGCUUCAGAAACAUGAAGGUAAAUAGAUUAAUAUCUAUAGCUGUAGAUAGGUUAAAAUAAAGAAAGGUGGAUGGAUAGAUGGGUAGAAAGACAGAAAGGAAGUAGACAUGAAGAUAUUCAUGAGAAUUUUUGAAAAAGAAUCAAACGAUUCUGAUAACAAAUGUUAAUUUCUGGGGAGUUCAAAUGAAAUGUGAGAAAAGAGACUUUCACUUUCUUCUAAAUACUUUUACAGAGUGUUUGAAUUUUUUGUAAAUGCGUAUUACACUUAAAAUUUUUAAUUAUUAAUUUUUGUAGGUAUGUGACUGAGUAUCCCAUUUUUCUAAGAGAUAGCUUAUUAUUUUUCUCUCUCUUCUUUUUCCUCUCCUCCUUUUCCUCACUUCUUACUUAGCUCUUUAGAAAUGCAAUUAUAGCCUCUUAUCUCCCAUUUACCAGGCACUCCUUACAGGGCAAGUUCAUCUCCAGAGCAGAACCCUCACCCAUCAGGAGGUUGCCUUGGGAGAUAACAGUUGAUUGACAACCCAGCAUAUGCCUGCUAGAGUUUUUGGCUGCAUUUACAGCCUGUUUCUGCCCAUGAAGAAGCCAACUCGAAUGCCCGGUAGAUAAGGCACCAAAAUAUCAGCUGAGGUUUCCCAAGCUCCCUAAAAUCUACAGAAGUUCGGCUCAAACCCCUAUCCCAGAUGCUGGAGAUGACCAAGUUCUCCAGAAACACGUAGCAAAUUCCAGGGUGGGAAGGAGAAUCUGAGCAAGGAGACAACGAUUACAUUCUCAUGGUCACUUGUCUCUUGAGCUAGUGCUUUAUUGGAAUUAGUUUAUUCUGUUAAGAGUUUCCCAAAUGUCCUGUCUUUAUGUUACACUCACAACAAAACAGACAUAAAGCACUGGCUUAGCCUCCAGUUCCACAGGAGCCUCAUCAACCCAUGCCUUCAACUGACGCCUAAGCUGAGACUAAAGAAGAUGGUAACCAAGUGAAGAGAUGGAGGUUUGGAGUGUCCAAGCAGAGAAACUACAUGUGGAAAUGCAUCGAAGCAAGAAAGAGCAUGACAUCUUCUUAGUACUGAAAGAAAAUACGACUGGACUUCAAAUAUUUUCUCAUUCGUGGGGUUAAGAGGUGGGUGUUUCUUUACUCCUCCUUUUCAAUACAUCCCAACAAAACAUCUGUGCACUUCUUUAGACAAGACCAAAAUGCAAAUAUUUUCGUUGCUGUUCUUUGUACUGUCACCAAAUCAAAAUAGUACCUUAGUUUUGUAUAAUUCUUUACAGUUUUCAAAGCAAUUUCCACUAUCUCAUUUGAAAUUCUCAGAGGCCCCUCACCACCAAAGAUAAUCAGUGAACUAUCUUUUUCAUGGAUCCAUUUGUGGGUUUCAACAAAAAUUAACUAUAGAACUUACUGAAACAUCAAACAUUUUAAGAAAUGGGAAAUAUUAUUUUUUUAACCAAAAAGCAAAAAGAGUGGUUUUUCAGACACACUUAUUGCAUAUAGCAAAGCAGCUCAUUUGGUGGGUGGGGGUGGGGUAUGGCAUUUUUUUUGUCUUACAGCCACGAGAAGCAGCAUUUUAGAAUAAUUAUUUACAAAUUUGUAAAACUUUAAAAAGAAUAGACUAUAUAACAUGUUGAAAUAGAAUCAUUGUUACACUUUGAUAAAACAUUAAACAAAACCCAGGUCUCCCUUUUCACCUUUCUAACCUCCCCUUUGGUCUGAUGACAGUCAUGGGGGUGAGGGAUUCACCGGGAUUCAGGUAGGGGCUCUGGGCCUGCCUAAGCCUUGCCAAGAAGCAGUUACCAGCUUGGCAGUGCAUACCUGAAGAAGGACAAUUGAACAUAAGGCUCUGUUGACGUGCCUGUAAAUUGUUCUGUUAGAGUUGGUCUAUUUAAAGCAAUUAUGAAUGCAUGGGUCAGUGCUAUUGGAAAAGAGCACUUUUGUACCCUUUCACAGGCCUCAGAAGCAGUGUAUUCUCCCCAUCUGACCCUCCGGAUGGUUCCAGGCCAAGCGUCUCUCAGGGAAGGCUGGUUUCUCUCAACGCCCCCUUUCUGUCUGUGUUUCUUGGUUACCAGACUUGCUUACUUUGUACUAUCCUCAGAGCCCAUGACUUCCUCUGCUUUUUUCCCUAUGGAACCUUCCUUUUCUCAAAAGUGCUCACAACCUUCUCUGUGUCUUAGUGAUCACAAGACUGAGCACAUUUCCUGUUCGCUGAAUAAGCUCUAUUCAAUACAAAUAAAUUAAAGAGGAAUAAGCAAAUUGCUUUAACGUUGUGAUUGCUCAUUAAGACUCUGAAAAAUACUCAAGAGCAUAGACUUGUUCCCUUAGAAAUACGAUCAACAGGUCAUUGAAAUCUUUGAACAUUAAGUAACUGCUAUGUGUAGAAGUGUUAUAUUGACAUUGUUACUGUGGAUCUCAUUUUCUCGCUGUUUUGAUAAUUUUUACUCCACAUUCCAUUAAAAUUAUUAUUUUAAAAAAUUAACACAAAGGCUUUCCCUUCCUCUGUGAUGGGCACCAGACCAAAGUUGAUGUGCAAUAGAAAGGAAAUAUUAAUCAGAGUGCAAAGCAGUGGAAAGAUCCCCACUGCUUUGCAGAUUAGAAAUGGAUGUCAGGAAGUUUCCUGCAGGAGGCCAUGUUAUUUCUUUACUCUCUUUGUAAAGAAACAAUUUACAAAAAAUGUUGAGUCUUGCCCUAGGAGGAAGGCGGUCCUGGAGACAAUGGCUUUGCCCUGAAGAAGACCAUGCUGUUGAACACCAUAUAAAUGAUGUGGCAGUGAGAGCCGAAGGCUGUGGGAUCUGAGAGCUGGCUCAGCCUCACUGCCCACCAGUCAUGGGAUCUUGGUGAAAUCACCAAUUCCUCUGAGCCCCAGUUUCCUCAUCUGUAACGUGGAUUUCAUAAAAAUCACUUCUUGUAUUGUAAGCGUUGAAAGCAUGAAUAUACAUAUAAUGUAAAUAAUUUCUCAUUGGAUAAAUCACAUGAAAAGUACUCAAUAAAUAAAACAUUAUUGUUUGUUAAUUCUU